This 1764-nucleotide ribosomal RNA is filed under the name Salmonella enterica subsp. enterica serovar Bovismorbificans. RNAcentral's name for it is "partial 23S ribosomal RNA". It matches the Rfam family "Bacterial large subunit ribosomal RNA", at positions 1132 to 2873 of the family's 2925-position model. Lineage: Bacteria; Pseudomonadati; Pseudomonadota; Gammaproteobacteria; Enterobacterales; Enterobacteriaceae. The record is from RNAcentral.
GCGUAAUAGCUCACUGGUCGAGUCGGCCUGCGCGGAAGAUGUAACGGGGCUAAACCAUGCACCGAAGCUGCGGCAGCGACGUUUAUGCGUUGUUGGGUAGGGGAGCGUUCUGUAAGCCUGCGAAGGUGGCCUGUGAGGGUUGCUGGAGGUAUCAGAAGUGCGAAUGCUGACAUAAGUAACGAUAAAGCGGGUGAAAAGCCCGCUCGCCGGAAGACCAAGGGUUCCUGUCCAACGUUAAUCGGGGCAGGGUGAGUCGACCCCUAAGGCGAGGCCGAAAGGCGUAGUCGAUGGGAAACGGGUUAAUAUUCCCGUACUUGGUGUUACUGCGAAGGGGGGACGGAGAAGGCUAUGUUGGCCGGGCGACGGUUGUCCCGGUUUAAGCGUGUAGGUGUGUGUUCCAGGUAAAUCCGGUUCACUUUAACACUGAGGCGUGAUGACGAGGCACUACGGUGCUGAAGCAACAAAUGCCCUGCUUCCAGGAAAAGCCUCUAAGCAUCAGGUAACACGAAAUCGUACCCCAAACCGACACAGGUGGUCAGGUAGAGAAUACCAAGGCGCUUGAGAGAACUCGGGUGAAGGAACUAGGCAAAAUGGUGCCGUAACUUCGGGAGAAGGCACGCUGACACGUAGGUGAAGUGAUUUACUCAUGGAGCUGAAGUCAGUCGAAGAUACCAGCUGGCUGCAACUGUUUAUUAAAAACACAGCACUGUGCAAACACGAAAGUGGACGUAUACGGUGUGACGCCUGCCCGGUGCCGGAAGGUUAAUUGAUGGGGUCAGCGCAAGCGAAGCUCCUGAUCGAAGCCCCGGUAAACGGCGGCCGUAACUAUAACGGUCCUAAGGUAGCGAAAUUCCUUGUCGGGUAAGUUCCGACCUGCACGAAUGGCGUAAUGAUGGCCAGGCUGUCUCCACCCGAGACUCAGUGAAAUUGAACUCGCUGUGAAGAUGCAGUGUACCCGCGGCAAGACGGAAAGACCCCGUGAACCUUUACUAUAGCUUGACACUGAACAUUGAGCCUUGAUGUGUAGGAUAGGUGGGAGGCUUUGAAGUGUGGACGCCAGUCUGCAUGGAGCCGACCUUGAAAUACCACCCUUUAAUGUUUGAUGUUCUAACGUGGACCCGUUACCCGGGUUGCGGACAGUGUCUGGUGGGUAGUUUGACUGGGGCGGUCUCCUCCUAAAGAGUAACGGAGGAGCACGAAGGUUGGCUAAUCCUGGUCGGACAUCAGGAGGUUAGUGCAAUGGCAUAAGCCAGCUUGACUGCGAGCGUGACGGCGCGAGCAGGUGCGAAAGCAGGUCAUAGUGAUCCGGUGGUUCUGAAUGGAAGGGCCAUCGCUCAACGGAUAAAAGGUACUCCGGGGAUAACAGGCUGAUACCGCCCAAGAGUUCAUAUCGACGGCGGUGUUUGGCACCUCGAUGUCGGCUCAUCACAUCCUGGGGCUGAAGUAGGUCCCAAGGGUAUGGCUGUUCGCCAUUUAAAGUGGUACGCGAGCUGGGUUUAGAACGUCGUGAGACAGUUCGGUCCCUAUCUGCCGUGGGCGCUGGAGAACUGAGGGGGGCUGCUCCUAGUACGAGAGGACCGGAGUGGACGCAUCACUGGUGUUCGGGUUGUCAUGCCAAUGGCACUGCCCGGUAGCUAAAUGCGGAAGAGAUAAGUGCUGAAAGCAUCUAAGCACGAAACUUGCCCCGAGAUGAGUUCUCCCUGAGACUUAGAGUCUCCUGAAGGAACGUUGAAGACGACGACGUUGAUAGGCCGGGUGUGUACC